AUGCAACCUCACAUGGUUCCAUUAUGUGAGAAGCACAAGAAGUUGCAUGCAGCACAAGUGAAGAAUGUUCUGACAUCAUUCAGCCAGAUAAUGCAGUCAAUUUUCUGCAAGCGUGUAGCACAUAUUUUGGUUGAAGCAAACUCCAUUGCUGCAACUUCCAAGGAACACAUGUCUAAAGGUGUUACUUUUCAAGUUCCAGCAUGCAAUGCAGCAGGAGGAUGUGACACCAGGGCUCCACCCCAAACUAGCCCUACGACUACAUGGGUGCCACAACACAAGAAGCCGAGGUUGAGAUGGAAGCUGCAGAUUGUCCCGACACCAACCAGAAUGGACAUGAUCAUGACAUUGUUUUGGAUAAAAUGUAGAGUUGCGAUACACUUGGGAAGGAAGAUGUGA
Molecule: ribosomal RNA, 396 nt
Filed under: Triticum aestivum (bread wheat)
Lineage: Eukaryota; Viridiplantae; Streptophyta; Magnoliopsida; Poales; Poaceae
Description: partial small subunit ribosomal RNA
Source: RNAcentral